UUCUUUAUAGGCUAAGACAUUUCAAGAUGAAGAAAAAAAAGUACUCGAGUACAGGUGUCUGUGUGAUGGAGUUUUUCUGUAUAAUAUUUGGCUAGAAAUUGAUCCUCAUCCUCCUUACCAUGGAAUUAACUCAUCAACUGAUGAUCUUGCAACUCGUAUACGAAACUUAGAUGUUCUACUUCAUAACAUAAAAGCUUUUUAUGAGGAAGUUCUUGGUCAGUUAUUGUUGACAAAGAUUCCUGAUAUUCUCACCUUGGCAAAACUGCAUGAUGAACAUUCCAGCAUUAGUGAAAUGGAAAGCUUAUUGCUCUUGAUUUUGGGAUGUGCUGUUCAGUGUGAAAGGAAAGAACAUUUUAUUGAAGUUAUUAAGUCUAUGGAUCUUGAAAUACAGCAUAAAAUAGUGGACUACAUACAGCAAAUUACUGAUAAUCCAGAAGCCGUUUGGACCAGUGAAUGGAUGGAAUUGAGUCUUAUUCCUCCUGAAGAUCAAGAGCACAUGUACAGUCUGUUAAUACAACAUCUGCGACGUCUAGUCAGAGAGAAAGAUGAACUAUCACAGG
Stegodyphus dumicola is the source of this 560-nucleotide long non-coding RNA. The record is from RefSeq and is a predicted model, not a curated record. Lineage: Eukaryota; Metazoa; Arthropoda; Arachnida; Araneae; Eresidae.